CGUGCCUAAUACAUGCAAGUCGAACGGUCUUUCUAUGGGAAGCUUGCUUCCACUGAGAAGAUAGUGGCGAACGGGUGAGUAACACGUGGGUAACCUGCCCAUAAGAGGGGGAUAACAUCCGGAAACGGGUGCUAAUACCGCAUAGUUUUCUUGAUCGCAUGAUCGGGAAAGGAAAGACGGCCUUUGUGCUGUCGCUUAUGGAUGGACCCGCGGCGUAUUAGUUAGUUGGUGAGGUAACGGCUCACCAAGACGAUGAUACGUAGCCGACCUGAGAGGGUGAUCGGCCACAUUGGGACUGAGACACGGCCCAAACUCCUACGGGAGGCAGCAGUAGGGAAUCUUCCGCAAUGGACGAAAGUCUGACGGAGCAACGCCGCGUGAGUGAAGAAGGUUUUCGGAAUCGUAAAACUCUGUUGUCAGAGAAGAACAAGUUGGAGAGUAACUGCUCCAGCCUUGACGGUAUCUGACCAGAAAGCCACGGCUAACUACGUGCCAGCAGCAGC
This 503-nucleotide ribosomal RNA is filed under the name uncultured bacterium. RNAcentral's name for it is "bacterial SSU rRNA". It matches the Rfam family "Bacterial small subunit ribosomal RNA", at positions 43 to 518 of the family's 1533-position model. The record is from RNAcentral.